This 88-nucleotide small nucleolar RNA is filed under the name Triticum turgidum subsp. durum (durum wheat). Lineage: Eukaryota; Viridiplantae; Streptophyta; Magnoliopsida; Poales; Poaceae. RNAcentral also lists the same sequence under 1 other name. The record is from RNAcentral.
AUGUAUGAAGAUAUGCACUGGGCUCUGAGCAGCAAACAUUGUUGCCUUAUGAUGGAGAUGCAUUUGCCUAGAAAGCAUUGUCUGAUGU